This is a non-coding RNA of Meleagris gallopavo (turkey), 1622 nucleotides long. NCBI's taxonomy places the organism in Eukaryota, Metazoa, Chordata, Aves, Galliformes, Phasianidae. The record is from RefSeq and is a predicted model, not a curated record.
GAGAUCACCCUGGAGAAGAAGGGGAGCAAAGGGAGAACUUGGAUUAAACAGAAAGGGCAUCUGAGGCUUUUAAAGUGGUGGAGGAAAGAGAGCGGGUUGUAAAACUGAAAUGCAUAAACCCACAGGAAAUCGAGCUUCAUUAGAUCUUGCUGUCUGCAGAGCAAAUUGUUUACGUGUUGCUAACAUUAAGGCCGUUGAAUAUACGCUAAAAAUAUUACGACCUUGAUCCUGUCGUGAGCUUUGCUGCUGCAGAUUGUGGAGUGAACAAAGCCCUGCUGCCUUUGCUAUGUUCUCUGCAGGAGCAAGGGAGGCUUGUGCCAUUUGGCUACUGACAACCUGCAAUGGGUUCUGCAUGGGCCUGUCAAUACGGAGGGAGGAUCAGCUGGCCAGAGCUAUUCAGUGGAUCUGCUGAGACCUCCUCUUGCAUUGGAGUCCCCAGGAAAGACUGCAAAACCAGCAUGAACCUCCAUCCCGGGCUGGCUGCUGUCACAGACAGAGCAAGUGAGAGAGAAAGAAGGUCUAGACAGAAGCCGUGGCAUCAUGGAAACCACCGUGUGAAAAAGAAGACUGAGAUGACAAAGAGAACUGAUGACUGCAUAACUGCCUGUGCACAGUUCAGAUCUGUGAUACGCCCUGCCAGGGCUGCCACUGCUUUCUUCACCGAGCUGCACUCCCCUGGAGAAGAGCACUCAGUGCGGGGGGCUGCAGGAGCCAAGCACUCCUCCCAUCACUUCCUCUGCAAAAAGCUGACGGCCCAGAAUGACAGUGUUUCUUUGAAACAAACAAACACGUUCCCUUCGGCCUUGCUACGCAUUCUUUCAAUGAGGUUAAUAAUUACACCUACUUACAGGAAUCUGCUAAAUUGAGUUGCACUGAAGUUAGCAUUUGCCCACAAUUACGCCAUAAUGGAGCCUGGUAAUUUAUGCUUCAGAGCAGAAUAUAUCUGCAGUAACCAAUGAUAAAUGCUUACUUUUAAAUAGCUAAAGGACCUCUCUUUAUUCUCCUGACCUAUUUUCUUCCUGAUUUUUAAUUUCUCUGAUCUGAUCUGCCUUGUUCUUUGCAUCAUCUGUGGCAUUAAGUGAGAUACUUUCCCCUGGGCAAUGUUCUUCAGAGCCAUUAGUUAAUGAACAGCGUUAGCUGCGCCUCAGAAUCAAAGAAAAUGGAAAGAAAUGUGAACAUUUCUUCUUAAUAAUACAUUUUCUAAGCCAAACGUAGAACUUUUCAAGUGAAAAUUAAUACUUACGCAAGGUGCCAGGAGAGUAACGCAUCAAGGUUAAAAUACACACACAUCUGUGUAAUAAGAAACUGUCAUUCUCAGUCAAACUGCCCUGCUGAAGAGGCUUACCUAGGCUUAGAGCACCAACCAGCUCUUAACACAGACACCCGAAGUGCUCUAUGUACCCAUCCUGGACUGUCAGAACGCUACUAAUUAAUGUCAGAUGUUCUUAUGCUUAGGUAAUGACUGGUUCCCAAUGACCCUUGAAAAGGCAAAGUUUGGUACCAGAUGCUGCAAGACUGAAGUGCAUGACAGUUCCAGGGCACAGCAGAAAGCCAAGAGCAGUGCUACAUACAUGACUGAACUCCAAAAAUAGUCUUGAAAUUAUUCUAAAUGUCUUUAAAAA